RNAcentral lists this ribosomal RNA (1457 nucleotides) under uncultured organism. Its description in RNAcentral is "16S ribosomal RNA". It matches the Rfam family "Bacterial small subunit ribosomal RNA". The record is from RNAcentral.
UGCCUAAUACAUGCAAGUAGAACGCUGAAGAGAGGAGCUUGCUCUUCUUGGAUGAGUUGCGAACGGGUGAGUAACGCGUAGGUAACCUGCCUUGUAGCGGGGGAUAACUAUUGGAAACGAUAGCUAAUACCGCAUAACAAUAGGUGACACAUGUCAUUUAUUUGAAAGGGGCAAUUGCUCCACUACAAGAUGGACCUGCGUUGUAUUAGCUAGUAGGUGAGGUAACGGCUCACCUAGGCGACGAUACAUAGCCGACCUGAGAGGGUGAUCGGCCACACUGGGACUGAGACACGGCCCAGACUCCUGCGGGAGGCAGCAGUAGGGAAUCUUCGGCAAUGGGGGCAACCCUGACCGAGCAACGCCGCGUGAGUGAAGAAGGUUUUCGGAUCGUAAAGCUCUGUUGUAAGUCAAGAACGAGUGUGAGAGUGGAAAGUUCACACUGUGACGGUAGCUUACCAGAAAGGGACGGCUAACUACGUGCCAGCAGCCGCGGUAAUACGUAGGUCCCGAGCGUUGUCCGGAUUUAUUGGGCGUAAAGCGAGCGUAGGCGGUUUGAUAAGUCUGAAGUUAAAGGCUGUGGCUCAACCAUAGUUCGCUUUGGAAACUGUCAAACUUGAGUGCAGAAGGGGAGAGUGGAAUUCCAUGUGUAGCGGUGAAAUGCGUAGAUAUAUGGAGGAACACCGGUGGCGAAAGCGGCUCUCUGGUCUGUAACUGACGCUGAGGCUCGAAAGCGUGGGGAGCGAACAGGAUUAGAUACCCUGGUAGUCCACGCCGUAAACGAUGAGUGCUAGGUGUUGGAUCCUUUCCGGGAUUCAGUGCCGCAGCUAACGCAUUAAGCACUCCGCCUGGGGAGUACGACCGCAAGGUUGAAACUCAAAGGAAUUGACGGGGGCCCACACAAGCGGUGGAGCAUGUGGUUUAAUUCGAAGCAACGCGAAGAACCUUACCAGGUCUUGACAUCCCGAUGCUAUUUCUAGAGAUAGAAAGUUACUUCGGUACAUCGGUGACAGGUGGUGCAUGGUUGUCGUCAGCUCGUGUCGUGAGAUGUUGGGUUAAGUCCCGCAACGAGCGCAACCCCUAUUGUUAGUUGCCAUCAUUCAGUUGGGCACUCUAGCGAGACUGCCGGUAAUAAACCGGAGGAAGGUGGGGAUGACGUCAAAUCAUCAUGCCCCUUAUGACCUGGGCUACACACGUGCUACAAUGGUUGGUACAACGAGUUGCGAGUCGGUGACGGCAAGCUAAUCUCUUAAAGCCAAUCUCAGUUCGGAUUGUAGGCUGCAACUCGCCUACAUGAAGUCGGAAUCGCUAGUAAUCGCGGAUCAGCACGCCGCGGUGAAUACGUUCCCGGGCCUUGUACACACCGCCCGUCACACCACGAGAGUUUGUAACACCCGAAGUCGGUGAGGUAACCUUUUGGAGCCAGCCGCCUAAGGUGGGAUAGAUGAUUGGGGUGAAGU